CCGCCCGCUUGCAGUUGUCAUGGU
Molecule: microRNA, 24 nt
Filed under: Pristionchus pacificus
Lineage: Eukaryota; Metazoa; Nematoda; Chromadorea; Rhabditida; Neodiplogasteridae
Description: ppc-miR-63j-5p
Gene: ppc-miR-63j-5p
Source: miRBase by way of RNAcentral